GGCCUACUCCUGCAUCUAUUGUCUAUUGACUCGUUAGUUAGACACGCGGAUAUGCAGGGAAUGGAGGGAUAUGGAUUAUACGCUGGAAGAUAAGUGUUGGUCUCGGCAACAUGUUCGGCACAGACAUUUUGGGCCGAAGAACUUGUUUCUGUGCUGUAUG
This is a long non-coding RNA of Amblyraja radiata (thorny skate), 160 nucleotides long. RefSeq lists it as uncharacterized. The transcript has 3 exons. NCBI's taxonomy places the organism in Eukaryota, Metazoa, Chordata, Chondrichthyes, Rajiformes, Rajidae. The record is from RefSeq and is a predicted model, not a curated record.